This 611-nucleotide ribosomal RNA is filed under the name uncultured fungus. Its description in RNAcentral is "eukaryotic LSU rRNA". The stretch from base 219 to 372 matches the Rfam family "5.8S ribosomal RNA". The record is from RNAcentral. Lineage: Eukaryota; Fungi.
AAGUCGUAACAAGGUUUCCGUAGGUGAACCUGCGGAAGGAUCAUUACCAAGAGAAAUCUUUCAACACUGAAAGAUCUUUUCCUUUGUGCUGGCUUUGACCGUAUGUAAUUUUGGGACUUUAAAAUGGUUCGCAAGGGCCGGUCCCAAAAACAAUAUAUCACCCUUAUGAAAUUUUUUCUGAACAAUUAAGCAAAUGAUUUUAAUAAUCUGUUUAAAACAACUUUCAACAACGGAUCUCUUGGUUCUCGCAUCGAUGAAGAACGCAGCGAAAUGCGAUACGUAAUGUGAAUUGCAGAAUUCAGUGAAUCAUCGAAUCUUUGAACGCACAUUGCACUCCUUGGUAUUCCGAGGAGUAUGCCUGUUUCAGUAUCAUGAGCACUCUCACACCUAACCUUUGGGUUUAUGGCGUGGAAUUGGAAUGCGCCGACUGUCAUGGUUGGCCCUUCUAAAAUGUAGUUCUUGGCUGUCACCUAAUACAGCAGUUUGGCCUAAUAGUUUUGGCAUUCAUUGUCAAAUCUUUGGCUAACAUUUGCUCCAGGAGUCAGUCUUGAUAAUACAGAAAACUCAUUCAAAUUUUGAUCUGAAAUCAGGUAGGGCUACCCGCUGAACUU